This 497-nucleotide ribosomal RNA is filed under the name uncultured bacterium. RNAcentral describes it as "partial 16S ribosomal RNA". It matches the Rfam family "Bacterial small subunit ribosomal RNA", at positions 28 to 507 of the family's 1533-position model. The record is from RNAcentral.
GAUGAACGCUGGCGGCGUGCCUAAUACAUGCAAGUCGAGCGAACAGAUAAGGAGCUUGCUCCUUUGACGUUAGCGGCGGACGGGUGAGUAACACGUGGAUAACCUACCUAUAAGACUGGGAUAACUUCGGGAAACCGGAGCUAAUACCGGAUAACAUAUUGAACCGCAUGGUUCAAUAGUGAAAGGCGGCUUUGCUGUCACUUAUAGAUGGAUCCGCGCCGUAUUAGCUAGUUGGUAAGGUAACGGCUUACCAAGGCAACGAUACGUAGCCGACCUGAGAGGGUGAUCGGCCACACGGGAACGGAGACACGGUCCAGACUCCUACGGGAGGCAGCAGAAGGGAAUGUUCCGCAAUGGGCGAAAGCCUGACGGAGCAACGCCGCGGGAGUGAUGAAGGUCUUCGGAUCGUAAAACUCUGUUAUCAGGGAAGAACAAAUGUGUAAGUAACUGUGCACAUCUUGACGGUACCUGAUCAGAAAGCCACGGCUAACUACGUG